AAGGUUGACCUCGGAUCAGGUAGGAAUACCCGCUGAACUUAAGCAUAUCAAUAAGCGGAGGAAUCUCUAGA
This 71-nucleotide ribosomal RNA is filed under the name Colletotrichum gloeosporioides. RNAcentral's name for it is "partial 28S ribosomal RNA". The record is from RNAcentral. Lineage: Eukaryota; Fungi; Ascomycota; Sordariomycetes; Glomerellales; Glomerellaceae.